RNAcentral lists this ribosomal RNA (468 nucleotides) under uncultured bacterium. Its description in RNAcentral is "partial 16S ribosomal RNA". It matches the Rfam family "Bacterial small subunit ribosomal RNA", at positions 28 to 507 of the family's 1533-position model. The record is from RNAcentral.
GACGAACGCUGGCGGCGUGCUUAACACAUGCAUGUCGAACGGAAAGGCCCUGCUUUUGUGAGGUGCUCGAGUGGCGAACGGGUGAGUAACACGUGAGUAACCUGCCCUUGACUUUGGGAUAACUUCAGGAAACUGGGGCUAAUACCGGAUAGGAGCUCCUGCUGCAUGGUGGGGGUUGGAAAGUUUCGGCGGUUGGGGAUGGACUCGCGGCUUAUCAGCUUGUUGGUGGGGUAGUGGCUUACCAAGGCUUUGACGGGUGGCCGGCCUGAGAGGGUGACCGGCCACAUUGGGACUGAGAUACGGCCCAGACUCCUACGGGAGGCAGCAGUGGGGAAUAUUGCACAAUGGGCGGAAGCCUGAUGCAGCAACGCCGCGUGCGGGAUGACGGCCUUCGGGUUGUAAACCGCUUUCGCCUGUGACGAAGCGUGAGUGACGGUAAUGGGUAAAGAAGCACCGGCUAACUACGUG